GGGCCUGACAGGUUUCGAUUGGCUGAUAGGACAACUGAACAGCGGGCAGGUGUUGGGCACAGUGGCUACCUUGAGUGAACGUGCCGACCAAUUAAGCGCCGACAACAACGACGCACUGGUAGCCGAGGCCGAGAUCAGCGAGAUCGAAGCCUUCGCCAACUCCGCUCCCGUAGCGGUGUGACCUGUCGGGGACAAGCCAGCUGCCGCGCAGCGUCUCCGACAUCAUCUCUAGCGGCAGCGCCCCCGCCGACUGAUCAGUGAGCGGUAUACAAGUGCACAGAUCUAACGAAGCCAGAAGGGCGUUCCUCCCCUCGCUGGCGGGGCCACAAGAGGAACUACGCCCGUAGAACCCAGUUCGACAGACGCCAAGACCCCGGUUCGAUCCCGGGCAGGUCCACCA
This 400-nucleotide transfer-messenger RNA is filed under the name Mycolicibacterium mageritense. It matches the Rfam family "transfer-messenger RNA". From Rfam's summary of the family: Bacterial tmRNA, also known as 10Sa RNA or SsrA, is named for its dual tRNA and mRNA-like properties. Its role is to liberate the mRNA from a stalled ribosome. Lineage: Bacteria; Bacillati; Actinomycetota; Actinomycetes; Mycobacteriales; Mycobacteriaceae. The record is from RNAcentral. RNAcentral also lists the same sequence under 1 other name.